This 468-nucleotide ribosomal RNA is filed under the name uncultured bacterium. Its description in RNAcentral is "partial 16S ribosomal RNA". It matches the Rfam family "Bacterial small subunit ribosomal RNA", at positions 28 to 507 of the family's 1533-position model. The record is from RNAcentral.
GACGAACGCUGGCGGCGUGCUUAACACAUGCAAGUCGAACGGAAAGGCCCUGCUUUUGUGGGGUGCUCGAGUGGCGAACGGGUGAGUAACACGUGAGUAACCUGCCCUUGACUUUGGGAUAACUUCAGGAAACUGGGGCGAAUAUCGGAUAGGAGCUCCUGCUGCAUGGUGGGGGUUGGAAAGUUUCGGCGGUUGGGGAUGGACUCGCGGGUUAUCAGCUUGUUGGUGGGGUAGUGGCGUACCAAGGGCUUGACGGGUAGCCGGCCUGAGAGGGUGACAGGGCACCAGAGGACUGCGGGCGGCAACAGUAUCCUACCGGAGGCAGCAGGUGGGAACAUUACGCAAAAGGCGGACGCGCGAUGGCGCUACGCCGCCGGCGGGAUUGCGGGCUUCGGGUUGUAAACCGAUUUGCGCUGGUAUGUAGUGUGUAUGACGGUAACUGGUAAAAAAGCACCGGCUAACUACGUG